Molecule: long non-coding RNA, 3818 nt
Organism: Pungitius pungitius (ninespine stickleback)
Lineage: Eukaryota; Metazoa; Chordata; Actinopteri; Perciformes; Gasterosteidae
Exons: 3
Source: RefSeq, a predicted model, not a curated record
GAACAGCUGACGAGGGAGGGCACUUGGCUGGCAGACGGGGCAGCCGGUAAUCGCGAGUUCGACAUAUCUAACCUAGACAAAUAACACGGACAGUUCAAUAUAAUUAUAUCUAUGGAUUUAAAUACACGUAUUCUGCCACAGCGGAGCCACAGCCGCGCUCGUUGUCUCGCGUGAGUUUAUGUUAUCACGAGAGUUCGCCAGUGGAGCCCGUGGCUGCGUCUGUUAGCCACAGGUCGUAUGGACCGUCCGGAUUUUAUAUUUUACACUGCUAACUACACACCUAUGCUUACAUCCACAUUGACUCAACCAAGUGGAAACGCUUUGGACGGUUGGUGCUCAAAUACUUUCAGAUGCCCCGUGCAAAGUCAUGCCACAAGUCUGAGGACAUCAAUGGGAAUGCCACAUGGCUUUCAACUCCAGCGAGCACACGGCACAGGUUGGCGUCACCGUGGGCAAUCAUGGCAAAGACCCAAGUCGACUCGACCACAGCGGAAAAUGAUCCUUCCAGAGAAGAAGUUAUUUACUUCUACAAUGAAUGGAAGAGUUACAACUUCCAGAUGACAGCUCUCCGUUCAUCCUUCUGGGCAACUUGAACAUCCAACAGAACUUAUGUGACCUACUGCGUUUAUUUUCUUCUUUAGCUCUCAUUUCAGUAUUAAUAUUCCCUGUAUUUUUGCAGGAGAGGCACCGAUCCUAUUUGAAUGACGUUUCGAAUUGAAAUUGUAUUAGAGCAGAUAGCUCAUCUGCAGAGCGUUGGCCCCUGGCGCAGGAGCCGAGGGUUUGACAAUACUUUUUUUUUUAACUUCUAUUUAGGUUUUGUACUUUGUACAUGGCCCCAACUUAUUUAAUAGGGUUAGGGUUAGUCCUGGUGUGACUUAAAAUGUGUUUAAUAAAUCCAGGAUGUAAUAUUUGUUCAGUAUGCAGGGGCAGUGAUUUAAUUUGUCAUGUUUUACAUAUUUUUCAGGUUUUACAGGGAAAACUGUUACUUAAAAAAAUCAUGUCAAGUCCAUGUAUUAUUAUGAUUAAUCAUGGCAUAAUGUUUCCUGCUGCACCACUGUUAAGAUUGUAACUUUGAAGUAUGUUAUACUACAUACUUUAUUCACUCUAAGUGAGACUUACAGUGAAUAGUUUGAGGAUAGGUGCCAUGGUCAGGGCCACCUGGGGGUUGAACCAUGAACCUCUCUACCCACUGCGCCUUUACUUAAGUCAAAUGUAACAGAAUCAUUGGCAUUGGCUUUUACUCACUGUGACAUCACAUAUUGGGUGUGCCUGAAAGUUUCAACAUCGGGAGCAAUGCAGCCUUUUUUGCAUCGUGUUUAUUGUAAUUAAAAGAUAGCUAAAUAUCUAAGAAGUCCGGGUUGGUCCGCUCCGCCCACCGUAUCUGGUCGGCGAGUGUCUGCUGUGCCUCCUGCAGCAUGUAACACCGACCAGGUUGAAUGAAGCAAACUUACGGGAGGGGGCUGAUUUUGGAGUAGAAGUAGAUUCCUUCACCUCAUCUUGCCAGAGAGCUCCGUGUCGCGGUCCGUUCUGAGCAACUUGAAGCCCGCCAGCUGGAGUGUGGAGUCCGGUAUCGGCAUCUGCUUUUAUUUCCUCUGAAAGCUUUUGUCGUCUUUUUACAUAAGAAUAAGUUCACAUUGCUGUCUACAACGUCUGUUUCCUUCUCCGACAGCCAGAUUGGUUGCCCGUAACUUAGAUGCUAAAUCAUAUGCAGUCCUACGUGUAUUUUCCAUGACGAGUGUUUGAAUAUAAUGCGCAAAAUUAUCUCGUUUUAUGCGCGUUAGCCCAUUUGUUUGCACUGUUGUUUAAGCCACAGGGUUCAAAGUAAGGUGUAUAUAUAUUUAAGGUAUAUAAUUUUUAAAUAAUGAAAAAACUACUACUAUAAAGUAAAGUAUUUUAUAUUUAUCUUAAUAUUUAUUUUCAGUUUCACCUGUACGUCCACCUGUUAAAUAUAGUUUGUGUUCAUAUUUAGAUUUUUUACAAGACGUUUAUAUGUCAAUGUUGUGUUUUCAGGCUUGUUCUGUUGCACCAAGUGGCCACUUAAGUUCAUACAGAGUCAACCAAGUUGUUUUUAAUAUUGUAUUCAGGAGGUCAAACUUAUGUUACAGAGGGAGUUACAAACAACCCUAUUGUGUUGUGUGGUUGCUGAAGGAUUUAAAAAACUCAUUUGGACAGGCUGGCAUAAUAACUUACACUGUGUUCCCUGUGAUGGGCCACCUUUUCAAGGGGGUGAGCAUGUCUCAGCUGGAGGCCUUUGCUUGUGAAAAACCGCCAGUCUUUCAGUCCAGGCUAAAAUUACACUGAGGGAGAAAAAACAAAGUCUCAAACAACAGUGGUGUGCCGACUCAAUACUUUAUGACUCGUAGAAAGAGCAGCAGCAGGUUCCCACCGCCAUAGAAACAAGUGUGAAAAAUUAAAUUGCUCCGGCCUUUCCCACUCAGUGUGGAGGAUUAGGGACCGAGAGAUACACCCGGCAACCCGCUGGUUAUGCUCGGCUCUCAUAUACCCCAAAGUACAGAAGCCUUUCAAAAAGGGUCCAUUUUUAAUGCCUGACUUAUGCCCAUGGUGCCAUUUUAGUGACAUCUGCACAGCAACCAGCGAUUUUCUGUACACUGCCUUCUCAUCCUUCUCCCCUUUUGUUGUUUUUUCUUUCUUUCUCCGUCUUAGUUUUUAAAUCUAAUCGGAAUGACAUGUCACCUUCAUCCUCCCUCCUUUGUGCUCCUUUAUUCCCUGUCGUCGUCUACAGGGAGCAAAGUGAGGUCGACCCGCAUGUUCGUGUUGGUGUGGUGCCUCUCUACCCCACUGUGGUAUUGAUGUAGCAUUAUGGCGCCUGGGACUCAAGAGGCUCAGAGAGGCAGAAAGAGGAGUGAGAGGCUAAAGAGAUUUAUUUAAGUUGGUGAGGUUUUUCCAGAGUGAAUGGUCCCUUCCUGAGCCUUUUUUCUGCUUUCUACCUAAUUUGACUGGAUAAGUGUGAAACAAUAUUAAAUAAAAGGUACGCAGUGCGAGUGUGUUUGUUUGUGUUUGGAUAUUCCAGACAACAGCAUCCCUACUGGUCACUUCAAAGAUGAUCAAAGAUGGAUCUUUUUUUCUGAUUGAAAACACACAAAGUUGACAUUCAUAUGAUGCUCAUACUAUUGGGUUAAAGUGAUGUGUCCCAGUUCCACUCAGAUAAUCCUGGUGUUUAUUUGCAGACUGAUUGACAAGUUCAAGACUGUACAGGGCCCAUGAGGCCUCCCAGACACUUUGAAAGCUCUGCGUCACAGAGACAUUUGUCGGAAGAGUGAGACACUUUCUAUUUGGCUCAUUGAGUUUCUGUUUUUUUUAUUUUCUAUUAUUCAAGUAAUUUGUGUUCCCUGUACAAAUGCUUUUUUUCUAGGAUUUCCAAUCAUCAGAAAACAGAAAGUGGCUCUGCAGAGUAUGUGUAAAAGGCAAACAAAAUGAAGGUCACCGAGCAGAGCAUGUGUAAAUAGAAAAGUGAGCUGCUCUUUGCAACAUGUACACAAAUAUCAUAUGCCUGGGUUCAAAGUACUAACAAAAUGAAAUCAUCCCAUUUUAUUGUGUUUUGAACCAUUUAAAAGGAUGCAAAAGAAAAGUUUUAUGGUAUUAAGUAUUAAUGCUGCGUCUGUUGUAAUGCUGUCUCGCUUGCUGGACUCAAAUAAAUAAAAUAAAAGACACAGAUGGAAAAAUACACAAAACAUUAGCAGGAUGUUGUGUUGCUUGUGUGCUAGAAAUGGAAAACACAUGUAAUCUCAGAGCAUGUUGUGUUCCUCUAAUUGCUGCACACAGUGGUCAGCUCCUGUGAAGUAAAUAACCCGUAAAUA